Molecule: long non-coding RNA, 1418 nt
Organism: Girardinichthys multiradiatus
Lineage: Eukaryota; Metazoa; Chordata; Actinopteri; Cyprinodontiformes; Goodeidae
Exons: 4
Source: RefSeq, a predicted model, not a curated record
UUAUGUUCUGUUGCUUUGUCUGUAUUUAACCUUGGCUGUGUCAUGUGACCAGCCAUUUCAAUCGUCACUGGUUGUCAUGCCAACAGAGCAUCUAAGGGAGUCCGUGCUCAACAGAAAGAUGGGAUGUUUGCACUUCACAGACAGGCAGUUUGUCGGAGCAUUGCAAUGUUUGACUUUGUCGAGAAGUUGCAAGGAUGUCCACUCCUGCAGAGAUUGGAAGCUGUCUUCAUUUCUACUUGUCAAUAAAACAAUAUCCCUCCAAAUCCCCAGAAAAAGCUCCCUCUACCUUCUCUGCAGGACCUGCCAUCCCACAGGCAACAUGUGAUUUUGAUUUUAUCGUCUGCAUCUGUGUGAUCUGGAUGGUUUUCUUCAGGGUUAUUUCUUAAAAGGUUCCACUAUGUAUGUUGUAUUAGCACACAACACUUUUCAUCCUUGACUCACGCAGGAUCUUCAGUGACAGAGAUAACAUCAUGUACCAACUCCUACUCGAGUCAAUUUGAAGAAGUCAGAAGACUGAUUAUGUUCCAUUGGUUCAUCUUGUGCAGAGUGUGUUGAGGACUGUUACGUGCAGCAGCUCGUUACGUGCAGCAACCUUCUUUCACUUUCAGCUCCCCAUCACAGAGACAGUCUAAUUUUAACCAGUUUGUUCACUUUCACUGAUGAACUGCUUUUGAUGCUGCUGCCACAACACACAGCACACAAAACAGUGUGUCACUGUUAGUUAAGCCAGAAGUAAAAUCGUUCUUGUAAACAACCGCAGUGUUGUAUUUAAGUCCAGUCGUUAGUAGUGAACUCUGUGGUAUAUUUUGUCUUGCAUCACCUCCAUCUUUUUUCCCAGAAUAAAAAAACUCUGUCCAUCUUUUUCUUGGCCUUUCUAAAAUCCACACCAGCUCUUUUGACUUGUUCAGAAUAAAGAUGAGAUGAUUGUCCCCACAUCAUGUCACAGAGGUGGAUCACUAGUAUUUCUGUGGAUGACAGGACAUACAGACUGAGGAGGAACAGUAAGGUUCCCCGAGGAGUCUUCCUCUGCAUUUGACCACUGGUGGAGACUCACAAGCCUUUAGACUCUCAAACUAUGGUCUGUCUGUAAGAUAGUCAAUUAUUUAGCCGGCUCGGGAGGCCUCCUGGAGAAUCUUAUGGAGAUUUUCUUACAUAAUUGUGCAAAAUGCAGCCUGAAUUGUCCUAAAUGUACCGAAGAAAUAAAAAAAAGUGGUCCUCAGAAUAAUGUCUGUUUUGUCGAGACAAGAUUAGCCUCUCUGAAGAAAACAGAAAAGCUAAAAAUUUGCAAAGAAGACCCCUGAAGUCUUUAAUGUUCCAUAUUAAUUUUAGCGUCACUGUUGUAAAUGAUUAAAUUUAAACUUCCACAUACUAGGAAGUCUCCACUUCAUGUGGAGUAUUAACUCAUACAAAACUUCAGG